This 71-nucleotide transfer RNA is filed under the name Marmota monax (woodchuck). Its description in RNAcentral is "tRNA.Ala". It matches the Rfam family "tRNA". Rfam says of the family: Transfer RNA (tRNA) molecules are approximately 80 nucleotides in length. Lineage: Eukaryota; Metazoa; Chordata; Mammalia; Rodentia; Sciuridae. The record is from RNAcentral.
GGGGUUGUGGCUCAGUGGUAAAGCACUCGCCUAGCAUGUGUGAGGCCCUGGGUUCAAUCCUCAGCACCACA